UCCAUAUAUCAGUUGGGAAAUGGCCCUCGUGCUCUUGUGGGUAAACAUCGGCGCGUUUCUCAGUUCGCUCGCCGUGGCGGUCGGUUUGAAGAAGCCCGUCGGCGAAAUUCUCAGCUAGUGUGAGUUACGGAAGGCUGCUGCUGAGAAGUAUCCU
RNAcentral lists this unclassified non-coding RNA (154 nucleotides) under plant metagenome. Its description in RNAcentral is "partial contains 5.8S ribosomal RNA, internal transcribed spacer 2, and large subunit ribosomal RNA". The record is from RNAcentral.